UAUGCCCUACGGGGGGGCAGCAGUGGUUAAUCUGGUUGUUUGGGGGCCACCCUGAUGCAGCAACGCCGCGUGAAGGAAGACGGUUUUCGGAUUGUAAACUUCUUUUCUUAGUGAAGAAGCAAGUGACGGUAGCUAAGGAAUAAGCAUCGGCUAACUACGUGCCAGCAGCCGCGGUAAUACGUAGGAUGCGAGCGUUAUCCGGAAUUACUGGGUGUAAAGGGAGCGCAGGCGGGACUGCAAGUUGGAUGUGAAAUACCGCCGCUUAAAUGCGGAGCUGCAUCCAAAACUGUAGUUCUUGAGUGGAG
RNAcentral lists this ribosomal RNA (305 nucleotides) under uncultured bacterium. RNAcentral describes it as "bacterial SSU rRNA". It matches the Rfam family "Bacterial small subunit ribosomal RNA", at positions 332 to 651 of the family's 1533-position model. The record is from RNAcentral.